RNAcentral lists this ribosomal RNA (274 nucleotides) under uncultured bacterium. Its description in RNAcentral is "partial 16S ribosomal RNA". It matches the Rfam family "Bacterial small subunit ribosomal RNA", at positions 523 to 796 of the family's 1533-position model. The record is from RNAcentral.
AUACGGAGGGAGCGAGCGUUAAUCGGAAUUACUGGGCGUAAAGCGCUCGUAGGCGGCCUGUUAAGUCGGAUGUGAAAGCCCCGGGCUCAACCUGGGAACUGCAUUCGAAACUGGCAGGCUAGAGUAUAGUAGAGGCAAGUGGAAUUCCGGGUGUAGCGGUGAAAUGCGUAGAUAUCCGGAGGAACAUCAGUGGCGAAGGCGACUUGCUGGACUAAUACUGACGCUGAGGAGCGAAAGCGUGGGGUGCAAACGGGAUUAGAAACCCCAGUAGUCC